UAAAUAAGAGUUUGAUCCUGGCUCAGAAUGAACGCUGGUGGUAUGCUUAACACAUGCAAGUCAACGUAAAGAAAUUUAUUUCUUUAUGUGGCGGACGGGUGCGUAACGCGUAAGAACUUACUUUUUGGCUUGGUAUAGUUUUGAGAAAUCUUAAGUAAACCCAAAUACUGCCUACAAAAGGCGAAAGAUAAUUCACCAAAAAAAAGGCUUGCGUCUGAUUAGCUAGUUGGUUUGAUAACGGCAAACCAAGGCAACGAUCAGUAGCUGAUCUGGGAGGAUGAUCAGCCACAUUGGGACUGAGACACGGCCCAAACUUCUACGGAAGGCAGCAGUGAGGAAUUUUCCGCAAUGAGCGAAAGCUUGACGGAGCAAUACCACGUGACUGAAGACAGCCUUUAUGGUUGUAAAAGUUUUAUUUUAGAAAAGAAUAUUGACUGUAUCUAAAAAAAAAGUAUCGGCUAACUCUGUGCCAGCAGCCGCGGUAAUACAGAGGAUGCUAGCGUUAUUCGGAAUGAAUGGGCGUAAAGAGUCUGUAGGUAGUUUAAAAAGUCUUUUGAGAAAUAUUUAGGCUUAACCUAAAAAGUUUAAGAGAAACUAUUAAACUUGAGAUUAGUAGAGGUUUAGGGAAUUUUCGGUGGAGCGGUGAAAUGCGUGGAUAUCGAAAGGAACACCGGAGGCGAAAGCGUUAAACUGGGCUAAUUCUGACACUGAGAGACGAAAGCGAGGGGAGCAAAUAGGAUUAGAGACCCUAGUAGUCCUCGCCGUAAACUAUGGGGACUAGAUGUGUAUAUAUAAAUCUUAUAUAUGCAUAACGAAGCUAACGCAUUAAGUCCCCCGCCUGGGGAGUACGCCGCAUUGGUGAAACUUAAAGGAAUUGACGGGAACUUACACAAUUGGUGGAGCAUGUGGUUUAAUUCGAUGCUACACGAAGAACCUUACCGGGAUUUGACAUAAUAUUUUAUUUUUUUUUUGUAAUUAAAAAAAAUAAAUUUAUUUAUAAAUUUAAAAUAUUACAGAUGGUGCAUGGUUGUCAAGUUCGUGUUUUGAGAUGUUAGGUUAAUUCCUGUAACGAACGAAAUCCCUUUUUUCUAUUAUAUAAAAUAUUUUUAAUUGAAAUAACUGCCAAUGUAAAUUGGAGGAAGGUUGGGAUGCCGUCAAAUCAGUAUGCCUUUUAUAUCCCGGGCUACACACGUGCUACAAUGGUCGAUUCAAUAGAUAUCCAAAAUUUUAACCUCGAUCGUAGUUCGGAUUAAAGGCUGAAACUCGCCUUUAUGAAGUAGGAAUCAAUAGUAAUCGCAAGUCAGCUAUAUUGCGGUGAAUUAGUCCCUGAGUUUUGUACACACCGCCCGUCACACCCUGGAAAUUGGUUUUGCUUGAAAUUAUGACUUUAACACCAAUUUUUUGGUGAGGAGAAUACUUAAAGUAAAGUUAGUAACUAGGGUGAAGUCGUAACAAGGUAGCCGUACUGGAAGGUACGGCUGGA
This 1483-nucleotide ribosomal RNA is filed under the name Helicosporidium sp. ex Simulium jonesi. Its description in RNAcentral is "16S ribosomal RNA". It matches the Rfam family "Bacterial small subunit ribosomal RNA". The record is from RNAcentral. Lineage: Eukaryota; Viridiplantae; Chlorophyta; Trebouxiophyceae; Chlorellales; Chlorellaceae.